AGUGAACGCUGGCGGUAGGCCUAACACAUGCAAGUCGAACGGCAGCACAGGAGAGCUUGCUCUCUGGGUGGCGAGUGGCGGACGGGUGAGGAAUACAUCGGCAUCUACUUUUUCGUGGGGGAUAACGUAGGGAAACUUACGCUAAUACAGCAUACGACCUACGGGUGAAAGCAGGGGACCUUCGGGCCUUGCGCGAUUGAAUGAGCCGAUGUCGGAUUAGCUAGUUGGCGGGGUAAAGGCCCACCAAGGCGACGAUCCGUAGCUGGUCUGAGAAGAUGAUCAUCCACAAUGGAACUGGGACACGGUCCAGACUCCUACGGGAGGCAGCAAUGGGGAAUAUUGGACAAUGGGCGCAAGCCUGAUCCAGCCAUACCGCGUGGGUGAAGAAGGCCUUCGGGUUGUAAAGCCCUUUUGUUGGGAAAGAAAUCCGGCUGGCUAAUACCCGGUUGGGAUGACGGUACCCAAAGAAUAAGCACCGGCUAACUUCGUGCCAGCCGCCGCCGUAA
This 506-nucleotide ribosomal RNA is filed under the name uncultured bacterium. Its description in RNAcentral is "partial 16S ribosomal RNA". It matches the Rfam family "Bacterial small subunit ribosomal RNA", at positions 29 to 523 of the family's 1533-position model. The record is from RNAcentral.